GACAGGUGGGACAGGUGGGACAGGAGAGACAGGUGAGACAGGUGAGACAGGUGAGACAGGUGAGACAGGUGAGACAGGUGAGAGACAGGUGAGACAGGUGAGACAGGUGGGACAGGUGAGACAGGUGAGUGACAGGUGAGUGACAGGUGAGAGACAGGUGAGACAGGUGAGACAGGUGAGACAGGUGUGUACAGGUGUGUACAGGUGCAGUACAGGUGUGUCACAGGUGUGUACAGGUGUGUACAGGUGUGUACAGGUGUGCACAGGUGUGAUUUACCUGUCUCAGGUGUGAUUUACCUGGGAUGGUGUGCACAGCCUCGAUGGGCAGCAGGCAGGGCCGGGUGUGACACAGGUGUGACACAGGUGUGACAGUGAUGUGUUACAGGUGUGUACAGGUGUGUCCAGGUGUCCCCAGGUGUGUCCAGGUGUGUUCAGGUGUCCCCAGGUGUGUCCAGGUGUAUCUCAGGUGUCCCCAGGUGUGCCCAGGUGUACCCCAGGUGUGUUUUUACCCCCCCGGGUGUGCCCAGGUGUACCUCAGGUGUGCCCAGGUGUGUCNNNNNNNNNNNNNNNNNNNNNNNNNNNNUCUCAGGUGUGCCCAGGUGUGCCCCAGGUGUCCCCAGGUGUGCCCAGGUGUACCCCAGGUGUAUCCAGGUGUGUCCUCAGGGGUCCCCAGGUGUAUCCAGGUGUGUCCUCAGGUGUCCCCAGGUGUGCCCAGGUGUAUUUCAGGUGUCCCCCAGGUGUAUCCAGGUGUCCCCA
Molecule: long non-coding RNA, 756 nt
Filed under: Cyanistes caeruleus (blue tit)
Lineage: Eukaryota; Metazoa; Chordata; Aves; Passeriformes; Paridae
Description: lncRNA (ENSCCEG00000002843.1)
Source: RNAcentral